This is a long non-coding RNA of Saccostrea echinata, 215 nucleotides long. RefSeq lists it as uncharacterized. Lineage: Eukaryota; Metazoa; Mollusca; Bivalvia; Ostreida; Ostreidae. The record is from RefSeq and is a predicted model, not a curated record. The transcript has 3 exons.
AGCUGUCACAGAACUGGUUCAAACUGGCAUUUACAUCAGCUAGAACUAUCAAAAUAGAUGCAUCAUUUUCUCCACUGGCUACUCCCAAACAAUUUGAACAAUUCAUUCAGGCAGCAAGUGUUUCCACCAAUAAAAUAAAAAGAAUUGAUUUCAUCCAGAAGAACUGUUUGAACUGUGGACUGUUUGAAAUAUUUUGCACCUGCUCAGAAAUCCCC